This 470-nucleotide ribosomal RNA is filed under the name uncultured organism. Its description in RNAcentral is "partial 16S ribosomal RNA". It matches the Rfam family "Bacterial small subunit ribosomal RNA", at positions 335 to 797 of the family's 1533-position model. The record is from RNAcentral.
ACUCCUGCGGGAGGCAGCAGUGGGGAAUUUUGGACAAUGGGCGAAAGCCUGAUCCAGCCAUGCCGCGUGCAGGAUGAAGGCCUUCGGGUUGUAAACUGCUUUUGUACGGAACGAAACGGCCUUUUCUAAUAAAGAGGGCUAAUGACGGUACCGUAAGAAUAAGCACCGGCUAACUACGUGCCAGCAGCCGCGGUAAUACGUAGGGUGCAAGCGUUAAUCGGAAUUACUGGGCGUAAAGCGUGCGCAGGCGGUUAUGUAAGACAGUUGUGAAAUCCCCGGGCUCAACCUGGGAACUGCAUCUGUGACUGCAUAGCUAGAGUACGGUAGAGGGGGAUGGAAUUCCGCGUGUAGCAGUGAAAUGCGUAGAUAUGCGGAGGAACACCGAUGGCGAAGGCAAUCCCCUGGACCUGUACUGACGCUCAUGCACGAAAGCGUGGGGAGCAAACAGGAUUAGAUACGCUAGUAGUCCC